This 714-nucleotide long non-coding RNA is filed under the name Nicotiana benthamiana. Its description in RNAcentral is "long non-coding RNA (NBEN_LNC012648)". The record is from RNAcentral. Lineage: Eukaryota; Viridiplantae; Streptophyta; Magnoliopsida; Solanales; Solanaceae.
CAAUGGAAAAAUGUUGAGGCUGGAUCCCCUGUCGACUAUUAUCCUGGUGAUAAAGUGAUCCUCACAUUGCGCAUUGAUGUGCAACUCUUUGUUAUGACCAAGCCCUUCUGGCGGUAAUUCAUCUUCGUGGAAGGUGAUCUUAUGGAUUUCCAGUACCUGCCCCACCAUGUUUGCCAUUUCGCCUCCUGUUAUGUUGCUGGGAACAUGAGCUUCACUCAGUAUUUUCAUUAAGGCAUUUUUAUGUGCCUCAGAACUUUGUAGAAGAGCCAAGAUAGAAAUCUGUACUGGCGUUUUGUUCAGUUGCUUGAUGACUGAGUACUCUUUGCCUGUACCUUCCUCCAAAGGUCAUCGGGUCCAGUUUCAAUAGCCCGUCCGGAGGCUUGCUUGCUGGAUUCAGCUAAAUGUUUCGGGAUGUAUACCCUGCCUAUCCUAGUUAUACCCUAUGCGGCAAUUGCUUCUCCAGUAUAUGUAUUUCCUUUCCUUAGCCUCACCGGUGUAAUCCCAAGGUAUAACAUUUGUCUUGAAUGGGGUCACGUCUGUCAUGGAGAUCGGAAUAGGCCCCUUGGGAGGUAACACAGUAACUUCGAAAGGUGCAGACGCCUUUGGAACCCCGAACUCGACCUCAAUUGGUUUUGGCACCUUUGCAAAAGGUGCUUCAAACUCGAGCGGUGCAGACACAUUUACCACAUCGCCCUCAUAGGGCUGAAUCUGAAC